This 253-nucleotide ribosomal RNA is filed under the name uncultured bacterium. Its description in RNAcentral is "partial 16S ribosomal RNA". It matches the Rfam family "Bacterial small subunit ribosomal RNA", at positions 524 to 776 of the family's 1533-position model. The record is from RNAcentral.
UACGUAGGGUGCGAGCGUUGUCCGGAAUUAUUGGGCGUAAAGGGCUCGUAGGCGGUUUGUCGCGUCGGGAGUGAAAAUCCAGGGCUUAACUCUGGACUGGCUUCCGAUACGGGCAGACUAGAGGUAUGCAGGGGAGAACGGAAUUCCUGGUGUAGCGGUGAAAUGCGUAGAUAUCUGGAGGAACACCGGUGGCGAAGGCGGCAUCCUGGACCGACACUGACGCUGAGGCGCGAAAGCUAGGGUAGCAAACGGG